CCUACGGGUGGCAGCAGUAGGGAAUAUUGCUCAAUGGCGGAAACCCUGAAGCAGCAACGCCGCGUGGAGGAUGAAGGUUUUCGGAUUUGAAACUCCUUUUGUUAGAGAAGAUAAUGACGGUAUCUAACGAAUAAGCACCGUCUAACUCCGUGCCAGCAGCCGCCGUAAUACGGAGGGUGCAAGCGUUACUCGGAAUCACUGGGCGUAAAGAGCGCGUAGGCGGGAUAGCAAGUCAGAUGUGAAAUCCUAUGGGUUAACUAUAGAACUGCAUUUGAAACUGUUAUUCUAGAGUAUGGGAGAGGUAGGUGGAAUUCUUGGUGUAGGGGUAAAAUCCGUAGAGAUCAAGAGGAAUACUCAUUGCGAAGGCGACAUGCUAGAACAUAACUGACGCUGAUGCGCGAAAGCGUGGGGAGCAAACAGGAUUAGAUACCCCUGUAGUC
This 440-nucleotide ribosomal RNA is filed under the name uncultured bacterium. RNAcentral describes it as "partial 16S ribosomal RNA". It matches the Rfam family "Bacterial small subunit ribosomal RNA", at positions 338 to 795 of the family's 1533-position model. The record is from RNAcentral.